RNAcentral lists this ribosomal RNA (431 nucleotides) under uncultured bacterium. RNAcentral's name for it is "partial 16S ribosomal RNA". It matches the Rfam family "Bacterial small subunit ribosomal RNA", at positions 29 to 507 of the family's 1533-position model. The record is from RNAcentral.
AACGAACGCUGGCGGCAGGCCUAACACAUGCAAGUCGAGCGCCCUUUCGGGGGAGCGGCGGACGGGUGAGUAACGCGUGGGAAUAUGCCCUUCUCUACGGAAUAGCCUCGGGAAACUGAGAGUAAUACCGUAUACGCCCUAUGGGGGAAAGAUGUAUCGGGGAAGGAUUAGCCCGCGUUGGAUUAGGUAGUUGGUGGGGUAAUGGCCUACCAAGCCGACGAUCCAUAGCUGGUUUGAGAGGAUGAUCAGCCACACUGGGACUGAGACACGGCCCAGACUCCUACGGGAGGCAGCAGUGGGGAAUCUUAGACAAUGGGGGCAACCCUGAUCUAGCCAUGCCGCGUGAGUGAUGAAGGCCUUAGGGUUGUAAAGCUCUUUCAGCUGGGAAGAUAAUGACGUUACCAGCAGAAGAAGCCCCGGCUAACUCCGUG